The sequence is a small nuclear RNA, 145 nucleotides long. Its record names the gene U2. It matches the Rfam family "U2 spliceosomal RNA". Rfam says of the family: U2 is a small nuclear RNA (snRNA) component of the spliceosome (involved in pre-mRNA splicing). Complementary binding between U2 snRNA (in an area lying towards the 5' end but 3' to hairpin I) and the branchpoint sequence (BPS) of the intron results the bulging out of an unpaired adenosine, on the BPS, which initiates a nucleophilic attack at the intronic 5' splice site, thus starting the first of two transesterification reactions that mediate splicing. The record is from Ensembl.
AUCGCUUCUCAGCCUUUUGGCUAAGAUCAAGUGUAAAAUAUGGCAAAUUUUAACUUAAAAUCUUUAAUGAUCCUGAUUGUAGGUGAGACAAAUGAGACACAAUAUGGCUUUUAUCAGGAUACUCACUUGAGUAAAUGUAGCUACU